UGUUCAGACUUAAAACCACAUAUCUAAAUGACCUGGGUUGCAUUUCUAAAAAUCAUGUCUGUGUUGUUCAGACUGUCACGAAAAGGUCACAGAUCA
This is a long non-coding RNA of Poecilia latipinna (sailfin molly), 96 nucleotides long. RefSeq lists it as uncharacterized. The transcript has 3 exons. Lineage: Eukaryota; Metazoa; Chordata; Actinopteri; Cyprinodontiformes; Poeciliidae. The record is from RefSeq and is a predicted model, not a curated record.